This 489-nucleotide ribosomal RNA is filed under the name uncultured bacterium. RNAcentral describes it as "bacterial SSU rRNA". It matches the Rfam family "Bacterial small subunit ribosomal RNA", at positions 65 to 543 of the family's 1533-position model. The record is from RNAcentral.
UGGGGCAGCAGGACGGUAGCAAUACCGUUGCUGGCGACCGGCAAACGGGUGCGGAACACGUACACAACCUUCCUUUAAGUGGGGAAUAGCCCGGGGAAACCCGGAUUAAUACCCCGUAACAUAUAGAAGCGGCAUCGCUUUUAUAUUAUAGCAGCAAUGCGCUUGAAGAUGGGUGUGCGGCUGAUUAGCUAGUUGGCGGGGUAACGGCCCACCAAGGCAACGAUCAGUAACUGGUGUGAGAGCACGACCAGUCACACGGGCACUGAGACACGGGCCCGACUCCUACGGGAGGCAGCAGUAAGGAAUAUUGGUCAAUGGACGAAAGUCUGAACCAGCCAUGCCGCGUGGAGGAUGAAGGUCCUCUGGAUUGUAAACUUCUUUUAUUUGGGAAGAAAUCUAUCUUUUCUUGGAUAGUUGACGGUACCAGAUGAAUAAGCACCGGCUAACUCCGUGCCAGCAGCCGCGGUAAUACGGAGGGUGCAAGCGUUA